This 458-nucleotide ribosomal RNA is filed under the name uncultured bacterium. Its description in RNAcentral is "partial 16S ribosomal RNA". It matches the Rfam family "Bacterial small subunit ribosomal RNA", at positions 338 to 795 of the family's 1533-position model. The record is from RNAcentral.
CCUACGGGAGGCAGCAGUGGGGAAUAUUGCACAAUGGGGGAAACCCUGAUGCAGCGACGCCGCGUGAGUGAAGAAGUAUUUCGGUACGUAAAGCUCUAUCAGCAGGGAAGAAAAACCGGCCUUAGGGCCGCCAGACGGUACCUGACUAAGAAGCCCCGGCUAACUACGUGCCAGCAGCCGCGGUACUACGUAGGGGGCAAGCGUUAUCCGGAUUUACUGGGUGUAAAGGGAGCGUAGACGGCAGAUCAAGUCUGGAGUGAAAUGCCGGGGCCCAACCCCGGAACUGCUUUGGAAACUGUGCAGCUGGAGGGCAGGAGAGGGAAGCGGAAUUCCUAGUGUAGCGGUGAAAUGCGUAGAUAUUAGGAGGAACACCAGUGGCGAAGGCGGCUUACUGGACUGUAACUGACGUUGAGGCUCGAAAGCGUGGGGAGCAAACAGGAUUAGAUACCCUUGUAGUC